AGUGAACGCUGGCGGUAGGCCUAACACAUGCAAGUCGAACGGCAGCACAGUAAGAGCUUGCUCUUACGGGUGGCGAGUGGCGGACGGGUGAGGAAUACAUCGGAAUCUACUUUUUCGUGGGGGAUAACGUAGGGAAACUUACGCUAAUACCGCAUACGACCUACGGGUGAAAGCAGGGGAUCUUCGGGCCUUGCGCGAUUGAAUGAGCCGAUGUCGGAUUAGCUAGUUGGCGGGGUAAAGGCCCACCAAGGCGACGAUCCGUAGCUGGUCUGAGAGGAUGAUGGGCACACCGGGAACUGAGCCCCGGUCCAGACCCCAACGGGGGGCAGCGGUGGGGAAUUUUCGACAAUGGGCGCAAGCCUGAGCCAGCCAUACCGCUGAGGUGAAGAGGGCUUUCGGGUUGUAAAGCCCGUUUGUUGGGAAAGAAAAGUAUCAGGUUAAUACCCCGCUGCUCUGACGGUACCCAAAGAAUAAGCACCGGUUAACUUCUG
RNAcentral lists this ribosomal RNA (491 nucleotides) under uncultured bacterium. RNAcentral describes it as "partial 16S ribosomal RNA". It matches the Rfam family "Bacterial small subunit ribosomal RNA", at positions 29 to 506 of the family's 1533-position model. The record is from RNAcentral.